This 334-nucleotide unclassified non-coding RNA is filed under the name soil metagenome. Its description in RNAcentral is "partial contains 5.8S ribosomal RNA, internal transcribed spacer 2, and large subunit ribosomal RNA". The stretch from base 1 to 120 matches the Rfam family "5.8S ribosomal RNA", at positions 35 to 154 of the family's 154-position model. The record is from RNAcentral.
GAUGAAGAACGUAGCGAAAGGCGAUAAGUAAUGUGAAUUGCAGAAUUCAGUGAAUCAUCGAAUCUUUGAACGCACAUUGCGCCCAUUAGUAUUCUAGUGGGCAUGCCUGUUCGAGCGUCAUUUCAACCCUUAAGCCUAGCUUAGUAUUGGGAAUCGACUUUACUGUCGUUCCUCAAAUUCAACGGCGGAUUUAUAGCAAUCUCUGAACGUAGUAAUUUUUUUCCUCGUUUUUGAAAUACUAUAAACCUCAGCCGCUAAACCCCCAAUUUUUCUAUGGUUGACCUCGGAUCAGGUAGGAAUACCCGCUGAACUUAAGCAUAUCAAUAGCGGAGGA